RNAcentral lists this ribosomal RNA (436 nucleotides) under uncultured bacterium. RNAcentral describes it as "bacterial SSU rRNA". It matches the Rfam family "Bacterial small subunit ribosomal RNA", at positions 28 to 479 of the family's 1533-position model. The record is from RNAcentral.
GACGAACGCUGGCGGCGUGCUUAACACAUGCAAGUCGAACGGUAAGGCCCUUCGGGGUACACGAGUGGCGAACGGGUGAGUAACACGUGGUGAUCUGCCCUGCACUUCGGGAUAAGCCUGGGAAACUGGGUCUAAUACCGGAUAGGACCAUGGACUUCACGGUUUGUGGUGGAAAGCUUUUGCGGUGUGGGAUGGGGCCCGCGGCCUAUCAGCUUGUUGGUGGGGUAAUGGCCUACCAAGGCGACGACGGGUAGCCGGCCUGAGAGGGUGUCCGGCCACACUGGGACUGAGAUACGGCCCAGACUCCUACGGGAGGCAGCAGUGGGGAAUAUUGCACAAUGGGCGCAAGCCUGAUGCAGCGACGCCGCGUGAGGGAUGACGGCCUUCGGGUUGGUUAAACCGUCUUUCAUAGGACGAAGACGCAAGUGACGGUACC